CUUUCUUUACAGCUUCAGUUUUCUUUUGUAGCAGGUUUGCACGAUGCUGUUCCUGUAGCUCUCUUCCUACCACUUCUCAAGAUGUCAAGGCCAAGUGCAGGAAGAGGGUUGUAACCCUGGGGAAACACAUGUACUUCCAUGCAGAGGUUCAAAAGAGAACUGACUGCACCAUGUGGGAACAGAGACAUCUCCAGAAGACAUGGAGAACCUCACCUGGACUGCAUACACCUGCAUCAGAGUGUAGAAUGGAAGACAGCAUUUUGCAGAUUAUCAGUAAGGGUCCCUGGAGGAAUGUCUGCAGGAGAGGACCCAUCAUUGGUGGGCCAUGGUUUCCAGAGUACUCCCUGUCAGCCAGUGGUGUGCCCACCACAAAGCAGCAGGUGCCAGGCAUGAGGGAGGAGGGUGAGUGAGAACAAAGUACAUGCAUGUCCACUGGGAAGGGGUAAGCAAGGCAGCCCAGCCCAGGCAUGGGCCACAUCUUGGAGAAUAUUUGUCCAUGUACUGCUCAUACACUGAAUAGCAGGAGAUGUUUGAAGUUUGUUCAAGGAAAAAACAUUCAGGUUUAAUUAAUUCAAUGCAUGAUAAAAAAAUAUGAAAUAAUCUUCUGCAUAUUCUUUGUUCUGGAGAAAAAAUUUGGUUGUAAUUUUGAAAACGUGGUUUAUUUAACACAAGACUUUGGUAUUUUUAUGUGACUGUUGAAUCAAAUGUGCUAAAGUUGGAAAUCUAAAGGUUUCAAAUAAUUCAUUUUAAUUACUGAAGCAUCACUUAAUCAAAAUAAUCUUCCAUGGUAAUAAUUAUCAUUGUCAGUCCUUUUCUAACACAUACUUAAAUAUUUCAUGUAUUAAUAUCAAACUUGAUUACCAUACUUCCUGAGAGCUACAAGCUGCUGCAUUGCAGUUGCUGAGGUAGUGCUAUCUGAACAGCUCAAAAUGAGCUCAUUUGGGUACUGGAAGCCAGCAAAACACUGGAAACACAGCGGUUUGUUUGGGUUAAUAUAACCUAUUAAGAAGCAUGAUAAAUUAGUCUCUAUGGAAUUUCUUGCUAUCGCAGUUUGACUGCUUCUGGAACCUGAGGUAGAGCAUUUUAUUUUGGCUGGCGAGCUGCAAUGAUAAUGUAUCUCAUAAAUUUCGAGUCUGGAAUAAUUCCUCAAGAAAUAACAGAGCUGUUUAGCUGUAAAGACAAAAUAAACAGUUGAAUUGAGGAACCCA
Molecule: long non-coding RNA, 1208 nt
Filed under: Numida meleagris (helmeted guineafowl)
Lineage: Eukaryota; Metazoa; Chordata; Aves; Galliformes; Numididae
Description: lncRNA (ENSNMEG00000017880.1)
Source: RNAcentral